CCUACGGGAGGCAGCAGUGAGUAAUAUUUGUCAAUGGGCUUACGCCUGAACCAGCCAAGUCGCGUGAGGGAAGACUGCCCUAUGGGUUGUAAACCUCUUUUGUCAGGGCGCACUUGGCGCUACGUGUAGCGUUAUCGAGAGUACCUGAAGAAAAAGCAUCGGCUAACUCCGUGCCAGCCGCCACGGUAAUACGGGUGAUGCGAGCGUUAUCCGGAUUUAUUUGCGUUAAAGGGUGCGUAGGCGGAAUGCCAAGUCAGCGGUAACAUCGCGGGGCUUAACCUCGCGUCGCCGUUGAAACUGGCGUUCUUGAGUGGGAGAGAAGUAUGCGGAAUGCGUGGUGUAGCGGUGAAAUGCAUAGAUAUCACGCAGAACUCCGAGUGCGAAGGCAGCAUACCGGCGCCCAACUGACGCUGAAGCACGAAAGCGUGGGUAUCGAACAGGAUUAGAUACCCCUGUAGUC
Molecule: ribosomal RNA, 460 nt
Filed under: uncultured bacterium
Lineage: Bacteria
Description: partial 16S ribosomal RNA
Rfam family: Bacterial small subunit ribosomal RNA
Source: RNAcentral